RNAcentral lists this long non-coding RNA (1394 nucleotides) under Brachypodium distachyon (stiff brome). RNAcentral's name for it is "long non-coding RNA (BDIS_LNC002947)". Lineage: Eukaryota; Viridiplantae; Streptophyta; Magnoliopsida; Poales; Poaceae. The record is from RNAcentral.
AACUGGAGGGCGCCGACGGAGCGAAGGAGAACAACAAGCGCGCAGGAAAGGAAGUCCUUGCGGCCGCCCAAGGGCUGGCUCAAGCACCCGUGAAGAGGGUGAAUGCGGGAGGGGGAGCGGCGGAGGAGCUGCCACUCGAACUCUCGUGCUCACUCCACCCAGGAGGGGACCAUGUCCUACGGGUCUGCCCGCUCCUGGAGCGAAGGAUGCUGAAUCCGGACUUCGUAGACCGUCGUGUUCGGGGCGCAUGUUUCAAUUGUGGUGAGCCAGGCCACAUGUCCAAGGACUGAGCUCAGCAUGAUCGGCGGUCUGCUAGCAAUCGUCACAAGAAUAGGGCUAAUCAAAGAGAAUGGAGAUGAACCAAUUUCAUACCUAAAUCUCUCCGGAGAUGAACGGAUCGACGAAUCGAAGCUCGGGAAGGAAGAAGAAGGCUUGGGGGAGGUUCACGGCGUCGCGGGGAUCACGUAGGCGGUGGCGGCUCGGCGAACGGGGCAGCGCAGCUCCGGCAAUUGCUCGCCGGAGUUUGGGCGGCGGCGGCGGCGGCGGUUUGGCCGGAAAUUGGGGCGCGGGGCGAGGUGCAGGGCGAGGGAGAACGCGGGCAGGCCAGGGGAAGUGAAUGAGGGGCUCGGGAGGAGUUUAAAGGGCCGGGGACGCGUGCGCGAGGUGGUCGGGUGCCGGCAGUUUGCCGCGCGGGCAUGGGUUGCGGUCUUGGGUGCGGCUGCGUGCACGGGCAGGCGCGGGAGGCGGCGUGGCCGGAAAUCGCGGGCGCCGGCGGUUGCCGGAUUGGCCGGAGGUGGGGGAUGACAGCAUAUUUCAUUGAGAAUAUGCUUUCCCGCGGAGAAAGCGUACUUUCAGAGGAAAAAGAAAAGAAUAAAAGAAAAAAAAUAUAAAAUACUUUUUAGGAUUUAUAAUUCACCCGAAAAUCCAUUUAAAUCAUUUAAAAUACCAAAUUGGUUCAGAAAAAUUCCCAAAAAUUCUGUAAAAUAAUAUAUUUCAUUUAGAGUCUUGGAAAAUUAGUCCCUUUCGAAACUAAAAUAAUAAAAAUAGUUUAAAUACUUUUAAGCUUUAAAUAAAUCCAAAUAAAAUCGUAGAAUGCAUUUAUAAUUUUUAGAAAAUUCUCAAAUCAAUUUCUAUCAACCUAACACAUUCCAAAACACCAUUUCCAACACUUUCAAUAAUGCAUCAUUACGAACACCAAAAUUUUAAGAUAUGAUCAAGGUGAUAUGCAUAAGAAAUGAAAAGGUGCGAAUAUCCGAAAUUGAAAAUUUGGGAUGUUACACCCUGUCUGAGAAUGAGCAGUGGGUCCUAGUCACCAUGAGAAUAGUGGACUGUAAUUUUUUUUUCGGUCUGUAAUGAACCUAAUUAGUUUUACUUGGCCUUGGCAAGUCCCUGGC